RNAcentral lists this long non-coding RNA (269 nucleotides) under Mustela putorius furo (domestic ferret). Its description in RNAcentral is "lncRNA (ENSMPUG00000027515.1)". The record is from RNAcentral. Lineage: Eukaryota; Metazoa; Chordata; Mammalia; Carnivora; Mustelidae.
CAACAGAAUACUACUCAGCCAAAAAAAGAGAAUGAAGUCUUGCUAUUUAUGACACCAUGGAUGCACCAUGAGGGUAUCAUGGAGAAGAAGGACAAAUGUUAACAGAAUUUUCUCACAUAGACCAAUGAGUUUGCAGAUAAAAUUCUGUUAGGGUGCCAGUAUCCUAAGAUGUCCGCAAACUGACUGGAAGGAUAUAUGGUAAGAAUUAACAAACUAAGUCAUCAGUUCCAACUGAGAUAAACUCUCCCCAAACCUCCCCAAGGUUCCAG